GACGAACGCUGGCGGCGCGCCUAACACAUGCAAGUCGAACGGAGAUUACAGGCGGAAGUUUUCGGAUGGAAGCUUGUAAACUUAGUGGCGGACGGGUGAGUAACACGUGAGCAACCUGCCUAUCAGAGGGGGAUAACGAUUGGAAACGAUCGCUAAUACCGCAUGACAUAGCGGAAUCGCAUGGUUCUGCUAUCAAAGAUUUUAUCGCUGAUAGAUGGGCUCGCGUCCGAUUAGAUAGUUGGUGGGGUAACGGCCUACCAAGUCGACGAUCGGUAGCCGGACUGAGAGGUCGAACGGCCACAUUGGGACUGAGACACGGCCCAGACUCCUACGGGAGGCAGCAGUGGGGGAUAUUGCACAAUGGGGGAAACCCUGAUGCAGCGACGCCGCGUGAGGGAAGACGGUCCUCUGGAUUGUAAACCUCUGUCUUCGGGGACGAAACGAGACGGUACCCGAGGAGGAAGCCACGGCUAACUACGUG
RNAcentral lists this ribosomal RNA (481 nucleotides) under uncultured bacterium. RNAcentral describes it as "bacterial SSU rRNA". It matches the Rfam family "Bacterial small subunit ribosomal RNA", at positions 28 to 507 of the family's 1533-position model. The record is from RNAcentral.